This 142-nucleotide small nuclear RNA is filed under the name Saimiri boliviensis boliviensis (Bolivian squirrel monkey). RNAcentral describes it as "U4 spliceosomal RNA (ENSSBOG00000000127.1)". It matches the Rfam family "U4 spliceosomal RNA". From Rfam's summary of the family: U4 small nuclear RNA (U4 snRNA) is a component of the major U2-dependent spliceosome. The structure of U4 snRNA from yeast and human has been reported. U4 snRNA presents a k-turn RNA motif in the 5p-SL related to recognition of Snu13 protein. The record is from Rfam by way of RNAcentral. Lineage: Eukaryota; Metazoa; Chordata; Mammalia; Primates; Cebidae.
AGCUUUGCGCAGUGGCAGUAUUGUAGCCAAGUGAGGUUUAUCCAAGAUGCGAUUAUCGCUAACUGAAAACUUUUCCCAAUACCCCGCCAAGACAACUUGCAAUAUGGUCGGCAUUGGCAAUUUUUGACAGUCUCUAUGGAGA